Neoarius graeffei (lesser salmon catfish) is the source of this 1877-nucleotide long non-coding RNA. RefSeq lists it as uncharacterized. The record is from RefSeq and is a predicted model, not a curated record. NCBI's taxonomy places the organism in Eukaryota, Metazoa, Chordata, Actinopteri, Siluriformes, Ariidae. The transcript has 3 exons.
GCAGGUUAGGUUAACUGGUGACUCUAAAUUGACCGUAGGUGUGAAUGUGAGUGUGAAUGGUUGUCUGUGUCUGUGUGUCAGCCCUGUGAUGACCAGGCGACUUGUCCAGGGUGUACCCCGCCUUUCGCCCGUAGUCAGCUGGGAUAGGCUCCAGCUUGCCUGCGACCCUGUAGAACAGGAUAAAGCGGCUAGAGAUAAUGAGAUGAGAUUUUCAUAACAAACUAGUUUCUUUGGCAGAUCAUUUAUCUACUGUAAGUUGUAGGACAGAGUGUGUUUCAAACUUCUAUCGCCUCUUCUUUCUAACUAAUUUUCUGAUUGGUCUGGGAGAUUCUCACUGUAAACAUAGCGUGCGUGCGGCGUGCCAUGAGUCCAUUUAGCCUACUUGAGAGAUGAGUCUACUCUUUGGAUGAGUCAGAGAACGGGCUCUGGAUGAGUUAAGAUGGAUAUCAGACAAUUCUUCUCACGAAGCAGAGACGGGGCAGGGAAACAGUGACAGAUGAGGAGGAGGGUGAGAGAGAAAAGGGUCAUGUCAUAGGAGCGUACCAAAUCAGGGAAGGAUACGUCAUGACUGAUAGAACCCAAUCCGGAAUGUGGAUGCCUGCAUCAUCGUUUCUGAAAGUCUCAGUUUCUGCCCCGUCCAGACUAAAACGCAACCCUGAAGUUUUCAAACUAAAACGAGACCAGCAACAUUUCCAAAAGUCUCCAUUUUAAGGGCUUGAAAACUCCAGAGUAGUAUGGACACCAGGCAUAAACAGAGCAAAAGUGAUGCAUUUUCAAACUAAAACGUAUUAUUAUAGCACACGUUGUCCAAUCAAAGCACAAGAAGAUAACAACCUUACUCAAGGAGCCAGCAAAGGCCACACUGGGACUUGAACUUAAGGUCUUCUAAUGAGUAGCCCAAAGCCUUAACCCACUGAGCCUCCUCCAGGAGGUUGUGGGAGGUGGAUUACAAGAUGUUGUAUUGAAUGUGCACACCUUUUCUACAUGCCUUAAAUUUUUCAGGUGUUGCCAGCAUGGCCAAUUUAGUUACCCCAUGCGUACACUCUUUCUCAUUGUGUUCUACCCCUGCCAUAUAUGGGCCAUUGACAUUACACUUUUUUCCUAUAUUGUUGCUAGAAAUAAUGGUCCUGUGGAAGCUGCCAUUACAAUCUCCAAAUUUGUGACGAUGACCUUUGGAAAAUGCAUCUGGAGAGCACUAGUUGAAUAAGCUGUACCCAGAAAGCAAAAGUAAAACCGGGUAAAGGAUUGGGAAGGGGAGCUUUGGAAACUUCUGUGGUGCUUGUUUGUAAAGACACCAAUUUAUCAUAUUUACUUUGAGGACUUCUUGUGAUAUUCAUUCAUCUAAUUAGUAGCUGCUUCAUCCUGGUAGGGUGGAUUCAGAGGCUAUCCUGGGAAUACUGGGAGGGAUACAGGAAUACUGUACCUGGACCGGAUGCCAGGACAUCAUUUGCACACGGUUUUGCAACUAAGGACAGCCAUAAAUCCACCUGGAUGUUUUUGGGAGGUUGGAGAAAACCAGAGAACCCAGAGAAAGCCCACACAGAUAUGAGGAGAACAUGUAAAAGCUCCACACAGGCAGUAAGCCGAGGUGAGGGUUGAACCAGGGACCCUGAAGCUGUGAGGUAUUAUGAUCACUGUGACAUCAUUCCUUUUAUAAAUGGCCCUUUUAUAAACGGCCCUUAAACUCUUAAAAUAUUCUGUGUGGAACAAAGAACUCCACUUCACCCUCAGGAACCCUCAGCUAUCCCCCAGGAGGCCUUUUGUUCUUUUGGGCAUUUCCAUGUUGUCCUUAGUUGACCUUUCUUGCUUUUCUUUUUUUUUAAAGUGAACUUCCAUGAAAAUCCAUGUGAACUUAUCCUGUAGGCACCAUCGUUUUC